GAUGAAGAACGUAGCGAAAUGCGAUAAGUAAUGUGAAUUGCAGAAUUCAGUGAAUCAUCGAAUCUUUGAACGCACAUUGCGCCCGCCAGUAUUCUGGCGGGCAUGCCUGUUCGAGCGUCAUUACAACCCUCAGGCCCCCGGGCCUGGCGUUGGGGAUUGGCGGAGCCCCCCGUGGGCACACGCCGUCCCCCAAAUGCAGUGGCGGUCCCGCCGCAGCUUCCAUCGCGUAGUAGCUAACACCUCGCGACUGGAGAGCGGCGCGGCCACGCCGUAAAACACCCAACUCUUCUGAAGUUGACCUCGAAUCGGGUAGGAAUACCCGCUGAACUUAAGCAUAUCAAUAAGCGGAGGA
Molecule: unclassified non-coding RNA, 352 nt
Filed under: soil metagenome
Description: partial contains 5.8S ribosomal RNA, internal transcribed spacer 2, and large subunit ribosomal RNA
Rfam family: 5.8S ribosomal RNA (bases 1-120)
Source: RNAcentral